AUUCAUCUGACGAGUCCCGAAUAGGACGAAACGCGCGUCCUGGAU
Molecule: non-coding RNA, 45 nt
Filed under: Schistosoma mattheei
Lineage: Eukaryota; Metazoa; Platyhelminthes; Trematoda; Strigeidida; Schistosomatidae
Source: RNAcentral